CUAUACAUGACUCUGCGCAUAUCAAUAAGCGGAGGAAAAGAAACUAACAAGGAUUCCCUUAGUAACGGCGAUUGAAGCGGGAAGAGCUCAAAUUUGAAAUCUUCAAGGUUUUACCUUGACGAAUUGUAGUUUAAAGAGGUGUUUUCUGCUGAAGUUUUGGUAAAAGUUCUUUGGAAUAGGACAUCAUAGAGGGUGAGAAUCCCGUAUUUGACCAUUAUUUUCAGCUUCGUGAUACACUUUCAAAGAGUCGGAUUGUUGGGAAUGCAGUCCAAAAUGGGUGGUAAAUUUCAUCUAAAGCUAAAUAUUGGCGAGAGACCGAUAGGCGAACAAGUACCGUGAGGGAAAGAUGAAAAGAACUUUGAAAAGAGAGUUAAACAGUACGUGAAAUUGUCAAAAGGGAAGCGUUUGACACCAGUGUUGUUUUUCUGAAAAUCAAUUAAAGAACUGUUUAUGCUAAGUUGUUUAGACUUUAUCAGCUAUCUGUUUAGUUUUGAGCUUUUCUUUAAUGCACUUUUCAGUUAACAAGUCAACAUCAAUUUCUUUUGCUGUAAAAAAGCUUGAGGAAGGUGGCCUGAGAUUCGUCUUAAGUGUUUAUAGCCUCUUGCCUAUGCAGUCGGAGAGAUUGAGGUCUGCAGCGUAGAUCCUUCGGGGCUAAAUGCAUUUGUGCUAAGUUAUAGCAUUUUAUAGACAACUUGUUGACUAUAAUUAGUCUUGUAGCUUACUCGCUUAUGUUAUUUUACCUACGCUUAGGAUGUUGACAGCAGUAUAGACUGU
This 774-nucleotide ribosomal RNA is filed under the name uncultured Neocallimastigales. Its description in RNAcentral is "partial large subunit ribosomal RNA". It matches the Rfam family "Eukaryotic large subunit ribosomal RNA", at positions 22 to 629 of the family's 3401-position model. Lineage: Eukaryota; Fungi; Neocallimastigomycota; Neocallimastigomycetes; Neocallimastigales. The record is from RNAcentral.